GCGGACGACACGCUUGUCACUGCCCGG
Molecule: small RNA, 27 nt
Filed under: Bombyx mori (domestic silkworm)
Lineage: Eukaryota; Metazoa; Arthropoda; Insecta; Lepidoptera; Bombycidae
Description: ovarian small RNA-16927
Source: RNAcentral